UACGGGGGGGGCAAGCGUUGUCCGGAUUUACUGGGCGUAAAGGGCUCGCAGGCGGCCAACUAAGUCGGACGUGAAAUCCCUCGGCUUAACCGGGGAACUGCGUCUGAUACUGGAUGGCUUGAGUUUGGGAGAGGGAUGCGGAAUUCCAGGUGUAGCGGUGAAAUGCGUAGAUAUCUGGAGGAACACCGGUGGCGAAGGCGGCAUCCUGGACCAACACUGACACUGAGGAGCGAAAGCCAGGGGAGCAAACGGG
RNAcentral lists this ribosomal RNA (253 nucleotides) under uncultured bacterium. RNAcentral describes it as "partial 16S ribosomal RNA". It matches the Rfam family "Bacterial small subunit ribosomal RNA", at positions 524 to 776 of the family's 1533-position model. The record is from RNAcentral.